GGAAGCAUUCAAGGCCAGGCUGGAUGGGGCUUUGAGCAACCUGAUCUAGUGAGAGGUGUUCCUGCCUAUAGCAGGGGGGUUGGAACUAGAUGAUCAUAAAGGUCCCUCCAAACCCAAACUAUUCUAUGAUUCUAUGAUCCUCUAGCCAUGAUGCCAGGUUGGAUCAUCCACCUGGGAACAGACCAAAGGUGUCUCAAGCCAGGAUGAAAUGACGUGGUGGAGUUAUGCUCACAGCCUUAGAUGGCAGACAUAGCCAGUCACCUCUGUGGGAUACCAGUGACAUCCAAGACAGCAAUCAGUGUAAAGCAAGGUGCAGAGAUUUAGCAAGACUGAGGAGGCAAAUCCAGACCAACACGCACCACCAGGGCAGCCAGCUGUGGAGGAGGCGCAAGUGGCCACAGAUUCGCUGGGCGACACAGUCAACCCCUGAAAGUUGGUCUGACUUCAGAGUGGGCCCUGCUCCGCCACACAACAUUGGGCAAUGGCCUACAGAACUGCUUCUAAACCAAAGGGUUCCUGGAUUGCAGUGCUGUGCGAAAGAUUGCCACUGUUUUGCACUGCAGCUGCUCACUGGUGUAGAUCUACUGUAUUACUCACUCUUAAGUUCCACCACUGUAAAUACAGAACUGCUUUGUUCAAGUCCCUGAGGCUUGAUGAGCCUGCUUUUGACACAGCCUGGUAAGAGAAAUUGCGCUUAGCUAAUGAAUUGAUUGUAGAGGUAUAUUUUUUCAAGAACAUUCUCCUUGUUUAAUCUUUUUGUUUUGUUUUGUUUUGUUUUUUAAGUCAUUUCCAAGGGGACAAACUUAACUUAAAAGUGGGUUAACAUAUCAUAAGCAAGGUCACUUUUCUUUGUUCCCACAACCGCUCUGAUUAUAUGGUGAGAGGAGACAUAAGCUUGACCUAGUGGACAUUGCUGUGAACUUGCACUUUGGACUUCCCGGGAGUCCUUGAAUGGGCCACUCACCCGGUGCUGUACUUCAGUCUCCUGUCUGCAAAAUGCAGCUAAAGCUUCCCUGCUGGGCAGGGGCACUGUAAGUAAAGCCCUGUGAAGAUUGCAAGAUGCUUAAAAACAGCACCAGUGAUGGCCACAUAAGUGCCAAGAACAGAUAUGUAUCUACAUAUCCAGACAGCUGCAGACUUAUUGUGACUCAAUCAAGUUUAAACAUCUUAAGAUAAAAGCUGCUAUUUCAAGCUCCUUAGGCUCAAGGAAAUCCAUAAUAAAAACAAACCAUCAACAUAGAAAUAACUGGGA
This 1252-nucleotide long non-coding RNA is filed under the name Numida meleagris (helmeted guineafowl). Its description in RNAcentral is "lncRNA (ENSNMEG00000000222.1)". The record is from RNAcentral. Lineage: Eukaryota; Metazoa; Chordata; Aves; Galliformes; Numididae.